GGGCUCUUAGCUCAGCUGGUUAGAGCGCAGCGUUGACAUCGCUGAGGUCGGGUGUUCGAGCCACCCAGAGCCCACCG
RNAcentral lists this transfer RNA (77 nucleotides) under Actinomycetes bacterium. RNAcentral describes it as "Actinobacteria bacterium tRNA-Val". It matches the Rfam family "tRNA". From Rfam's summary of the family: Transfer RNA (tRNA) molecules are approximately 80 nucleotides in length. Lineage: Bacteria; Bacillati; Actinomycetota; Actinomycetes. RNAcentral also lists the same sequence under 1 other name. The record is from RNAcentral.